Molecule: ribosomal RNA, 372 nt
Filed under: uncultured organism
Description: bacterial SSU rRNA
Rfam family: Bacterial small subunit ribosomal RNA
Source: RNAcentral
CGAGGGGUGCAAGCGUUGCUCGGAAUUAUUGGGCGUAAAGGGUAGGUAGGUGGUCUCGUUUGUCUGGGGUGAAAGCCUUGAGCUUAACUCAAGAAGUGCCCUAGAAACGGCGAGACUAGAGUCCUGGAGAGGGUCGUGGAAUUCCCGGUGUAGCGGUGAAAUGCGUAGAGAUCGGGAGGAACACCAGAGGCGAAGGCGGCGACCUGGACAGGUACUGACACUCAACUACGAAAGCGUGUGGAGCAAACAGGAUUAGAUACCCUGGUAGUCCACGCUGUAAACGAUGGGUACUAGGUUUGGCGGGUCUUGACCCCUGCUGAACCGGAGCUAACGCGAUAAGUACCCCGCCUGGGAAGUACGGUCGCAAGACUA